CCUUGCCCCGUCUACUAGCGCUUUUCAUAACGGGUGCGCGUAUCAAUGCCAAUCACCGCUUUGACCUCUCUUCCCCUCGCACUUCGGUGAAGCCGCGUCGGAGAAGAAAGUCCCGAAUGCCUGGCAAGCUUUCACCCUGACCAGACUUCCAAGCGAGAUGCGCCAAGCUAUUAGACCCUGUCUCAGAUCCGACUUUUGGUCUGCCCGUCUUAUGGCUGAUGCUUUAGGCCCACAGAACAAAUGAAAAGUCCCCGAGAGCUUCGAAAGGAACAACCAAACCAAGGGGGAGGGCCCAUGCCAUGGCUUCAUCCUCAAGCACCUUGGCAGGCAUUGCCAACGAAUCAACUAAAGAGGGCUGACUGGGCCUGCGGCAAUCCAUUCUCCCUUUGGUCCACGGAAUUGGGGCAUCAGAACAGCCA
RNAcentral lists this small RNA (419 nucleotides) under Histoplasma capsulatum. Its description in RNAcentral is "hypothetical RNA". Lineage: Eukaryota; Fungi; Ascomycota; Eurotiomycetes; Onygenales; Ajellomycetaceae. RNAcentral also lists the same sequence under 1 other name. The record is from RNAcentral.